Acinonyx jubatus (cheetah) is the source of this 693-nucleotide long non-coding RNA. RefSeq lists it as uncharacterized. NCBI's taxonomy places the organism in Eukaryota, Metazoa, Chordata, Mammalia, Carnivora, Felidae. The transcript is spliced from 3 exons. The record is from RefSeq and is a predicted model, not a curated record.
GAGCUGAGAUUGAGAGUUGGAUGGCUAACUGACUGAGCCACCCAGACACCCCUAAAAAUUCUUAAUGGCAUUAUACCACAACACCCUGGGGUGGCAGUUUGAGAAUAGUGACAAAAGAAGAUAGUGCCAGCUGAGCCUCUGACCAGACUCGGCUGAAUUCCCAGAAAGUAACCAGCACCAAAUGCCAGCUGUGUCCUCAAAUGUGAUCUUACUUGAAGAUAGCGUCUUUAUAGAAGUCAUCAAAUUAAAAUGAGGUUAUAAGGUUGGGCCAUAAUCCAACAAGUGGUGUCUCUAUAAGAAGGGGACAUAGAUACGCAUGGAUGUGAAGAGACACAGGGAAGACUAUCCACAAACCAAGGAAGGGGGCCUGGAAUAGAUCCUUUCCUCACAGCCCUCACAAAGAAUCGAUACUGCCCACACUUUGAAUUUGGAUUUCAAGCCUCUGGAAGUUUCCAAUGCAGACCUUCUCUACCUAAAUGAUGACUGCUUAUCUUCACAGGACAUAAACAGGACAAAAGACAUGAAUCUACACUCCUACUCCAAAUAAAAGAGUUUUGUAUUUCAUCAAUGAUAUUGACAUCCUUCCUGUUACAAAAGCCAAAAACUUGCUUUGGAUUUGUGUGUGCAUGUGUGACUUAUACACAAAUAACAUUUAAUUGGCAAAUUAAACAUGCCUGGCAUAUUUGAUUAAAU